Aedes albopictus (Asian tiger mosquito) is the source of this 2272-nucleotide long non-coding RNA. RefSeq lists it as uncharacterized. NCBI's taxonomy places the organism in Eukaryota, Metazoa, Arthropoda, Insecta, Diptera, Culicidae. The record is from RefSeq and is a predicted model, not a curated record. The transcript is spliced from 6 exons.
AUGUAACGGUGAUUUUCAGAUGCAAAAUCACGCCUUUUCGAUGCUCGAUUACAUCUUCCUUGGAAUUACACAGAAAUAUAAUAACAUUUUUUUAUUACACCUAACUUGUGUAAUAUCAACACCCAUUGAACGUGUUUAUUACACAAAACCAGCUGCAACCAAGUGGGUGCAAAGCAGUUGUGUACAAUUACACAAAAUCGAUGGUCAUAUCGCAUCCCGACGAUACGAUAUUAAAUCUUGCAACACUGUACUGAUUGUUUGUGAUCGGUUUGCACCAGCGAAGCAAGCCGCCAUCUUCCCCGUGUUCAGUAAUCGAGUGCAUAGUGUUUUUUCUCAGUUUUUCUUAAAUAUUAUUUCGAUUUCAAACAGCCAGCAAUUUCCAAGGUAUCAUCAGUUCCGACACCGGGGUGUGUUUCCGUUUGCUCAACCAACAACCGAUCUGCUGGUGCGUUUGAUCUGGAUGGUUUUUCGUUCAAUUCGAUUCCCGACUUACGGAUAUACUCUCCCCAAGGUCAUUUCGGGCCUUUCAGACAGCGGGACAAAGAUCUGAGGCCUUUGCAAUUCCAGAAAGGAUUGUUUCCGAGACUGCACGACCAGGCAAUUAAAACUGAUGUGGCCCGAUUGACCCCGGUGACCGAACACUUCUUCAACAAAGUGGGCGGGCAGAUCAUCAAGCUAAUCAGCAGGACAAGUCAAACUGUUUAACAAUGUCUUCGGCUUUCGGAUUGGUUUCCGUAGCUUGUUCGGAUCUUGCUACAUCGAACUUUAGCAUCCUAGAGAAUGUUCGGAUCUCGGACUGGCAAAACAACGAUUCUCAAGAAUCUCUGUGGAUCCCAGCAAGCGGCAGAACAAGCUGCUGAAGGCAGUCAGUGGCUUGAUGGAUAUGUAGAAAUUCCAGGCCACCCGGAUGAAAUUAGUGCAAAUCCCUACUCAAAAGCUGGAAAUUUUCGGCCUCGCCCGAUGGUGAUGCGUGUACACGGGGAUUUUUUAAAGCCGAUACGUAGGAACUGACGUGAAUUCUAUCAGAUUCUCCAUAAAGCAACACUCCGACGGCGUGAGCUCAAGCGGCCGUGGAUGCCCUAUGUCCUUGUGGUGUCAGCAACAGCAAGAGAGUGGAUCAUCUCAAAGAGCCUGUGAAGUGGAAGCGGUCUGCUCCGGCGAUGCCGACAUCCUCUCCUCCGUUCGUGAUAUGCAGUGCCUCAUCAAGUACCUAAGUGAAGUGUCGCAAGUCUUGCAGCUGCUGCAACAUCUUAAGAUACACCAGACUUCUACGUUGGGAUGAAGUGGGAAUUCACCAACUGGGCACCGUAGGUGUCUCGUGUCUGCCAAAGCCACAUUUUUAAAGGCCAGUCGGAAUCGGCUACCAUAUGGUGAUAUGGUCAUAUGAUUGAGAUCGAUCACAAUACCGGCAGUGGAAUUACGCCGUCGAAGGAAUCGGUGGCUGCAGGUUCUCGUGGUUUGUAACGAUAUCGACAUGGACAAGACUCGUUCCGAACGGAAGAAAUCGGAUUCUGAGGAUGGCGUUGCGAAAAGGUAGAGAACAUCAACGUGUACGAGUGCAAAUUGUACGGAACGAGCAAUGUGGAAUACGUAGCCUGUGGCCGUAAGAGAAAUGAAAAGUGAGGAAAAAGUUCGAAUUAAAAGAUCUCAUACACCACUGCUACAGCACUUAAUAAGAAUGACCGAAGAGGAUUAUGAAUGCGAGAUUCAACGCCCUCAGAGAUUCUGAUGCAUCGCCUUUACUGGGUAAAGGUAAGCAGUUCCAACAAAAGCCUUGUCCAUGAAGCGGCAGCAAGAACUUCGAAUGCUUCCUCGGUUGGGACGGUACCCAGCGUUGCGAUAUGUUUUUCGACGGAAGUGGAUCUCCAGGAGCGAGUCGUUGGCAAACCGGAAUGGAUAUCCGCCAAGGUGCAGCGCUUCAAGGCGUACAUCUGGCUGAGCUACCAGUUCUCCACCAAGCUGCAAUAACAGGUGCUGCCCAUUUUAGGCCUGAUGUCUUCAUGUGCCCCCCUUUGUCACCAUACGGCUUUCCGCGGGACACUCGGUUAAGAUCGAUAUACCGCUGGCAAACCAGUGGCAAACAUCGCCAGUCUGCAGGAAAUUGAAGAAGCACCGCGUCCUUUGUCGACAUUAAUUUUUGUUCCGACGUGCCGGCUGAGUUCGCGAACAGAUGGUAACGAUGCCUGUAUUCUAAAGAUAGAAAACAUUAUGUUGUUUAUGUUCAAAAUUGUAUAUUUGCAAAAAGAAAAUAAACAUACACGGUAACUUCGUA